This 497-nucleotide ribosomal RNA is filed under the name uncultured bacterium. Its description in RNAcentral is "partial 16S ribosomal RNA". It matches the Rfam family "Bacterial small subunit ribosomal RNA", at positions 28 to 507 of the family's 1533-position model. The record is from RNAcentral.
GACGAACGCUGGCGGCGUGCCUAAUACAUGCAAGUUGAGCGAUGAAGAUUGGUGCUUGCACCAAUUUGAAGAGCAGCGAACGGGUGAGUAACGCGUGGGGAAUCUGCCUUUGAGCGGGGGACAACAUUUGGAAACGAAUGCUAAUACCGCAUAACAACUUUAAACAUAAGUUUUAAGUUUGAAAGAUGCAAUUGCAUCACUCAAAGAUGAUCCCGCGUUGUAUUAGCUAGUUGGUGAGGUAAAGGCUCACCAAGGCGAUGAUACAUAGCCGACCUGAGAGGGUGAGCGGCCACAUUGGGACUGAGACACGGCCCAAACUCCUACGGGAGGCAGCAGUAGGGAAUCUUCGGCAAUGGACGAAAGUCUGACCGAGCGACGCCGCGUGAGUGAAGAAGGUUUUCGGAUCGUAAAACUCGGUUGGUAGAGAAGAACGUUGGUGAGAGUGGAAAGCUCAUCAAGUGACGGUAACUACCCAGAAAGGGACGGCUAACUACGUG